This 722-nucleotide long non-coding RNA is filed under the name Sarcophilus harrisii (Tasmanian devil). Its description in RNAcentral is "lncRNA (ENSSHAG00000025126.1)". The record is from RNAcentral. Lineage: Eukaryota; Metazoa; Chordata; Mammalia; Dasyuromorphia; Dasyuridae.
AGCGAACGCGCUGGCGGGGCGCGAGCUCCCUCCCUUCCUGCCGGGCGUCCGGGCUGCAGACAAAGAAGGCACCCCCAAGUUCGCUGUUUCCCAACCCCGCGCGCGAGCAGUUCCUCUUCUCUAGCCAGCCCGGCCUAGGGUGAGAAAACUGAGGUGGGAAAUCAGUAUUGUCCUAAAUGCUGAGGAUACAAAGAAAGGCAAAAUAUAGUCCCUGUCAUCAAGUAGCUCACAAUCUAAGGAAGACAAUGUGAAAACAAUUCAAUAUGAACAACCGUACAGAAGUAAAAUUGGGAGUAAUCAGCAGAGGUAAAUAGAUAAGUAAGUGGCAGAACCACAACCAGAACCUGUUAUCAGAAAAUACAGAAAAUAUUUUCUGAUGCUUCAUCAGGUUUCAUGGAAACAACCAAAAGUGAACAGUUUCUAGAACUACCCAAAACCUCACUUCAUGUUUCUGUACUAGCAGCCAUAGUUAAAUACUAGGAGUGAUAUGUUUUGCAAUUGACUUCAAUGAACCAUUGAGCUGCUAUUAAAAUGUCUGCCCAAUUUGUUUGGUACUGUGGGUGUGUUUAUAGGCAACACACCUGCUCUAUGGAAUCUUGGUAAGAUGAUGACAGGAAGUAAGACACAAUGUGGAACUCUAAGCCUGCUGCAAAGUGAUGUUUAAAAAUAACAAUGUCAAAUGUUAAAGUGACACUUUUAAAUAUUUCUGCUAUUAAAAGAAA